This 254-nucleotide ribosomal RNA is filed under the name uncultured bacterium. Its description in RNAcentral is "partial 16S ribosomal RNA". It matches the Rfam family "Bacterial small subunit ribosomal RNA", at positions 524 to 775 of the family's 1533-position model. The record is from RNAcentral.
UACGAGGGGGGCGAGCGUUGUUCGGAAUUAUUGGGCGUAAAGGGUGCGUAGGCGGCCUGACAAGUCUGAUGUGAAAUCCCUGGGCUCAACCCAGGGCCUGCAUCGGAAACUGUCGGGCUUGAGUAUGGGAGAAGGUGAGUGGAAUUUCCGGGUGUAGCGGUGAAAUGCGUAGAUAUCGGAAGGAACACCUGUGGCGAAAGCGGCUCACUGGACCAUUACUGACGCUGAGGCACGAAAGCUAGGGGAGCAAACGG